Molecule: long non-coding RNA, 770 nt
Filed under: Equus caballus (horse)
Lineage: Eukaryota; Metazoa; Chordata; Mammalia; Perissodactyla; Equidae
Description: lncRNA (ENSECAG00000058886.1)
Source: RNAcentral
AGAAAGUGUGCACAAUUACUAUGUAAAUAAGGGACUUCACUUUAGAAUUCAAUGUUUAUCUCUUUCAGAAGAUUUAAAAUGGUCUUGACUAUAAAGGAAAUGACAUCUGACUAAUCAAUACUGACAACUAAAUUUUCCAGCAUAUAAAUGGAACUAGAAGCUGUGUUUUAAGGCCACAUCCAUCUAAGCAAUUCAUGAAGUUUUGCCCUCAGGAGGAUUCAUUGGCUUUAUUUGCUUGUGGCUGAGAUUUGCUGAUCUCGUGGGUAUGCCUCACCCACAGUGCCUCCUUUCCUCACUUCUCUGGAGAUGCAGCACCAAAGGAAAGAAGAAUUGACCAGGGGAAUUCAUGUUGUCGGAUUCUGGUACACACACAAUUAUGUUUCUGCCCUUCUUGAAUGGGAAUGAAGCAGCAAUGCCCAAAAUUCUCACCCCAUCCAGACUACUUAAUAUAAGUGCUGAAUGAAGGAACAGAUAGUAAUUGCUAAAUCCAACGUUCAAAUGGAAGCCCAUCCUGUAACAAAAGCUGCGCUGUUCCUGUUCAUCAAUCCAUGGGACCGUGGAGAAAGGAGAAUGUGCUGGGAGCCCUGCCUAAUGAAAUACGCCAAUGAUGUGUUCUUCAGCACAGGAGUGAUAUAUCAGGGGGCACAGGAUGAACCAGUUUUUACUUUGAUUUUGGAAAGAGAGUUGGCUUUGAUAAUUUAUACAAACAAUUUUCUCUUUAUACCACAUAUCAUCUUUUAUUGAAUAACAGGAAAUAAAAAUGAAAUGGC